Esox lucius (northern pike) is the source of this 592-nucleotide long non-coding RNA. RefSeq lists it as uncharacterized. The transcript is spliced from 2 exons. Lineage: Eukaryota; Metazoa; Chordata; Actinopteri; Esociformes; Esocidae. The record is from RefSeq and is a predicted model, not a curated record.
AGUUUAUUUACGGAUCAGAAUUUUAUAUUUACACAUUUUUGAGACACAUUUCCUUUGGUCUGUUAGUUCUCGUGUGCGUGGUUUCAGUCAGAGGGCUCGCUUGGUGGGACUUUUGGAAUAUCCGGACUGUAGCCUGGUAGAUUGGAGUCUACAUGUAGCUAGGACAAUUUUUUUCUGAAAUGGGUACUCAACUCAUAGUCACAUGGACGUCCUCGCUAGGGGGAGCCCUCGAGUGGAUGUUUAGCUGGACGGACGAGUGACAAGUGACGUUGAGCUGGAUUUUGAUCCGGAUGGACGGGAGAAGCAAGUAGAUCCCUCAGAGCGAUACGGACGUCCACCACGGUCACAUGGACGUCCACGCUAGGGGGAGCCCUCGAGUAGAUGUUGAGCCGGACGGACGGGCGAUGAGGGAUUUUGAGCAUGUUGUGCGGGAAGUUGAGCAGACGGGCGAUGAAGAUGGAGGGCAUGGUCCGGACUGACAGGAAAGUGGCCUGGAUGUCAGCAUCCAGCUCUAACUGGAUGUACAUUGAAGCGAACUGGAUAUCUUGUGUAUGAACAUAUUUUGAACGUAAUAAAAUUGAGAAUGAAGCGA